CUGAGCCAGACCUGGAGAUUGUGGUUUGCUCCGGCUAUGGGAAGAACGGGGCCCUAUCAGUGCUGCAGGUGUGUAGGGCAGGGGGGGUGGGCACCUGCGGGCAGCACCUGAGUAGGCUGACCCCAUCCCACCCUAUCUUCAUUCCAGAAGAGUAUCCGGCCCCAGGUAGUGACAACCUUUGAACUUCCUGGCUGCUAUGACAUGUGGACAGUCAUUGCCCCUGUGCGCAAGGAGGAGGUAGGUGGGACCCUAGGUGAUAGUGACUGUGGUGGCCUGAGGGCACCUGGAUCCAGUGGUCAUAGCCAUCACAGCUCUCUGUCCUCCCUGUCCUUGGCCCGUGCAGGAGGAGGCACCUAAGGCAGAGGGCCCAGAGCAGGAGCCGAGCACCCCUGAAGCAGAAGAUGAUGGCCGGAGACAUGGCUUCCUCAUUCUGAGCCGGGAAGACUCAACAAUGGUGAAGGGCGGGGUCUGGAUGUGGGCGUCUGGGGUUCCCCGGGGAAGGGCACAACUCACUACGUUACCUACAGAUCCUUCAGACUGGCCAGGAGAUCAUGGAACUGGACACCAGUGGCUUUGCCACACAGGGCCCCACGGUUUUUGCUGGAAACAUUGGGGACAAUCGCUACAUUGUCCAAGUGUCACCACUGGGCAUCCGCUUGCUAGAAGGAGGUAGGUGGGCAAGUGUAGGGAAGCGCGUCCUGGGGAGUAUGCUGCAUUGGCCACCCUGUGCUGACCACCCUGUGCCCACAGUGAAUCAGCUGCACUUCAUCCCUGUGGACCUGGGUGCCCCCAUCGUGCAGUGCGCUGUGGCCGACCCCUAUGUGGUCAUCAUGAGCGCCGAGGGCCGUGUUACCAUGUUCCUGCUCAAGAGUGAUUCGUAUGGUGGCCGCCACCACCGCCUUGCACUGCACAAGCCUCCACUGCACCAUGUAGGCCUCACCCUCUGUGUCUGCCAUCCCUGCCUAUGAUCCCCUAUCCCCACUGUCCCCGACCUACACUGGGCUUUGUCUCUCCCUGCAGCAGUCCAAGGUGAUCACACUCUGCCUGUAUCGUGAUGUCAGCGGCAUGUUCACCACCGAGAGCCGCCUGAGUGGGGCCCGUGAUGAGAUGGGGGGCCGCAGUGGUUCAGAGGCCGAAGGACUGGGCUCAGAGACCAGGUGUGCAGGGGGCCAGGGUGCAGGAGACCUGGGUCUCUGUGGCAGAUUGAGACAUGUCUGUGUCUUCAGCCCUACAGUGGAUGACGAGGAGGAGAUGCUCUAUGGGGACUCAGGCUCCCUCUUCAGCCCCAGCAAAGAGGAGGCCCGGAGGAGCAGCCAGCCCCCUGCUGACCGAGACCCUGCACCCUUUCGGGCAGAGCCCACCCACUGGUGCCUGCUGGUGCGAGAGAACGGCACCAUGGAGGUAGGUGCACACAUGUGGCUCAGCAGCCCUGGCAGCAUGGCAGGCCCUAUCGUCACUGACUGCUGUCCCCCACCAGAUCUACCAGCUUCCAGACUGGCGGCUGGUGUUCCUGGUGAAGAACUUCCCUGUGGGGCAGCGGGUCCUGGUGGACAGUUCCUUUGGACAGCCUACCACGCAGGGUGAGGCCCGCAAGGAAGAGGCCACGCGCCAGGGGGAGCUGCCCCUGGUCAAGGAGGUGCUGCUGGUUGCUCUGGGGAGUCGCCAGAGCAGGCCCUACCUGCUGGUGAGCCCUUUGGUGCCUGCCCAGAGGCUGGGACCUGCCCUCACAGCCCAGCCCAUUCCUCCACUCUGUCCUCGGGGCCCAGCCCCACCUCGUGGCCCACCCUGUCUCACUUCCAGGUGCAUGUGGACCAGGAGCUGCUUAUCUAUGAGGCUUUUCCCCAUGACUCUCAGCUUGGCCAGGGCAAUCUCAAAGUUCGCUUCAAGAAGGUGCAGCUGCUAGACCCUUUUGGGGUGGGUUGGGAGGGGUCCAGGCUACAGGGUCUGAAGGGCCUGGCGUUCAUCAACACCUUCACCAGGUCCCCCACAACAUCAAUUUCCGUGAAAAGAAGGCAAAACCCUCCAAGAAGAAGGCAGAAGGUGGCAGUGUGGAGGAGGGUUCUGGGGCCCGGGGACGUGUGGCACGUUUCCGCUACUUCGAGGACAUUUAUGGCUAUUCUGGGGUAGGCAGGCAGCUUUGUUUGGGCUUGGGGGUAGGGGAACAGGACCUUGCCCACAUGUUCUCACAGUGUCUGUCUCCAGGUGUUCAUCUGUGGCCCCUCACCCCACUGGCUCCUAGUGACUGGCCGGGGGGCUCUGCGGCUGCACCCCAUGGGCAUCGAUGGCCCCAUCGACUCCUUCGCCCCAUUCCACAAUGUCAAUUGUCCCCGAGGCUUUCUGUAUUUCAACAGACAGG
RNAcentral lists this long non-coding RNA (2356 nucleotides) under Marmota monax (woodchuck). Lineage: Eukaryota; Metazoa; Chordata; Mammalia; Rodentia; Sciuridae. The record is from RNAcentral.